GACGAACGCUGGCGGCGUGCUUAACACAUGCAAGUCGAACGGUAAGGCCCUUCGGGGUACACGAGUGGCGAACGGGUGAGUAACACGUGGGUGAUCUACCCUGCGCUUCGGGAUAAGCCUGGGAAACUGGGUCUAAUACCGGAUAGGACCACUGCCUGCAUGGGUGGUGGGGGAAAGCUUUUGCGGUGUGGGAUGGGCCCGCGGCCUAUCAGCUUGUUGGUGGGGGGGUGGCCUACCAAGGCGACGACGGGUAGCCGGCCUGAGAGGGUGACCGGCCACACUGGGACUUAGAUACGGCCCAGACUCCUACGGGAGGCAGCAGUGGGGAAUAUUGCACAAUGGGCGCAAGCCUGAUGCAGCGACGCCGCGUGAGGGAUGACGGCCUUCGGGUUGUAAACCUCUUUCAGCACCGACGAAGCGCAAGUGACGGUAGGUGCAGAAGAAGGACCGGCCAACUACGUGCCAGCAGCCGCCGUAA
Molecule: ribosomal RNA, 478 nt
Filed under: uncultured bacterium
Lineage: Bacteria
Description: partial 16S ribosomal RNA
Rfam family: Bacterial small subunit ribosomal RNA
Source: RNAcentral